Molecule: ribosomal RNA, 485 nt
Filed under: uncultured Flavobacteriaceae bacterium
Lineage: Bacteria; Pseudomonadati; Bacteroidota; Flavobacteriia; Flavobacteriales; Flavobacteriaceae
Description: bacterial SSU rRNA
Rfam family: Bacterial small subunit ribosomal RNA
Source: RNAcentral
AAAGGGUCCGUAGGCGGUUUUUUAAGUCAGAGGUGAAAUCCUGCAGCUCAACUGUAGAAUUGCCUUUGAUACUGAAAGACUUGAGUUAUUGUGAAGUGGUUAGAAUGUGUGGUGUAGCGGUGAAAAUGCAUAGAUAUCAUACAGAAUACCAAUUGCGAAGGCAGAUUACUAAUAAUCAACUGACACUGAUGGACGAAAGCGUGGGUAGCGAACAGGAUUAGAUACCCUGGUAGUCCACGCCGUAAACGAUGGUUACUAGCUGUUUGGACCUUGUGUCUGAGUGGCUAAGCGAAAGUGAUAAGUAACCCACCUGGGGAGUACGUUCGCAAGAAUGAAACUCAAAGGAAUUGACGGGGGCCCGCACAAGCGGUGGAGCAUGUGGUUUAAUUCGAUGAUACGCGAGGAACCUUACCAGGGCUUAAAUGUAAGUUGCAUUAGUUAGAGAUAGCUAUUUCUUCGGACCACUUACAAGGUGCUGCAUGGUU